This is a small nucleolar RNA of Sphenodon punctatus (tuatara), 222 nucleotides long. Its record names the gene SNORA73. It matches the Rfam family "Small nucleolar RNA SNORA73 family". From Rfam's summary of the family: U17 (SNORA73A and SNORA73B) also known as E1 belongs to the H/ACA class of small nucleolar RNAs (snoRNAs). Vertebrate U17 is intron-encoded and ranges in length from 200-230 nucleotides, longer than most snoRNAs. It is one of the most abundant snoRNAs in human cells and is essential for the cleavage of pre-rRNA within the 5' external transcribed spacer (ETS). Lineage: Eukaryota; Metazoa; Chordata; Lepidosauria; Sphenodontia; Sphenodontidae. The record is from Ensembl.
CCAACGUGGGCAUCCAGUGAGAUGGCUCUCGCGUGGCUCUGUCCAGGUGGCGUAUGGGAGCGUAGCACCGCAAGGUGCAGUGACGUAGAGUCCUGUUCCACGACGUUGGAGAUCAAGCUUCCCUCCCCACUGAAAGGCUGGGGAGGGAGGCGUCCUGUAUAUUCCUACAACUUCUCAGCACUUUGUCAAUUGCUGUGAAGACAAACCAUGCAGGACACAAGA